Molecule: long non-coding RNA, 539 nt
Organism: Myotis lucifugus (little brown bat)
Lineage: Eukaryota; Metazoa; Chordata; Mammalia; Chiroptera; Vespertilionidae
Exons: 3
Source: RefSeq, a predicted model, not a curated record
GAAGAGACAAACACUCAUCUAUAAUGAGUACAUAGUAUGUAGAAAUCCCACAUCUCUUAAGAGGGAGUGUUUAUGCCAUAUCAUUUCUAUAACCUGGCACCCAGAACAUAUUAGGUAUCUGAGGCCCUGCCACCCAUUCCUAAGGAAAAAAAACACACUUGACUUUGCUAAAAUCAACAAAUCUGUGUGUUUGUAACUCCAGUGCAAUCUGAUGCACCCCAAGAGACAACCAUAGCAGCCCAGACUUCAGCGGCAGCCCAGGACACUUCGGUGGCACCCGAGGAGCCAACCACCGAGCAAAGAAAAAAUCUCCUGGAAUCCGUGAUAGAGAAAGGUAUCUCGGACGUAAUCAAUGUCAUUGAAAGCUUAAAAAAAAGGGUGGACGAUAGAAUUGAAAACAGAAGAAGACAACUUAAAAACCUACUGGGAAGAAAAUGAAUCUAAGAUUUUUCCCUUGAGAAGCUGUAAAGAAUGGGAUCUGGGAACUUAACGCCUUAAUCAUGUGUACGGCUCAGAGCAAUUAAAUUGAAAGCAUUCAA